Molecule: long non-coding RNA, 586 nt
Filed under: Zostera marina
Lineage: Eukaryota; Viridiplantae; Streptophyta; Magnoliopsida; Alismatales; Zosteraceae
Description: long non-coding RNA (ZMAR_LNC005538)
Source: RNAcentral
UCGCCGCCCGUGACACCACAGCAAGUGUCCUCACUUGGGUCGUCAAAUACCUCCAUGACAACCCAGUUUUCCUGCAAGCUGUUAUUGUAAGCAAAUAUUAAUAAUCUAUCCAUCUGUAUAUAUAAUUUAAUUUAUACAACUGUAUAUAAUUGGAUCCGAUCGUCGACCUAUACAGGCUGAACAAGAGGAUAUCAAAAGGGAGAUGAGAGAGGGUGAUAGAUCUGUACUGACAUGGGAAGAUACGAAGAAGAUGACAAUGACCUCAAGAGUGCUCCAGGAGACCAUGCGAAUGGCUUCUGUUCUUUCCUACACAUUCAGAGAAGCAGUGGAAGAUGUGGAAUAUGAAGGUUAAUUAAUUUAUUAAUUAAAUUAAUUGUGUUAUAAAAUUUGACGAUACUCUAGAAGAUUCGUUAGAACGGUCCCGGCCAGAGCACCUCUAGAUUCGUUCGGCAUGGUCCGACUUGUUUCGAAAGGUGGAAGAAAAUCAAUAAAUAUCAAUCUCGAUCUUAGGAAGGAGAUCGAGAAAACACGUUACAUUUGAACUACACACUUAUCACCGAUUAAUCGUAAUACAUGAUCAUGUAGG